Molecule: ribosomal RNA, 440 nt
Filed under: Cepheia longiseta
Lineage: Eukaryota; Metazoa; Arthropoda; Arachnida; Araneae; Synaphridae
Description: partial 16S ribosomal RNA
Source: RNAcentral
UUUUUAUAGUCUUGAUUAUAAAUAAAUUCUGCUCAAUGAAAAUUUAAUAGCCGCAGGAUACUUACUGUGCCAAGGUAGCAUAAUCAUUUGAUUCCUAAUUAGAAUCUAGAAUGAAAGAAUAAAUGACUUAAUUAUUUUCUUUAAAAUCAACCUUGAAUUUAAACUAAGAAUUAAAAUGUUCUUAUUCAUAAGGAAGACGACAAGACCCUUUUAAACUUUACUUAAGUUAAACUGGGGCAGUUAAUUAAAUAACACUUUAAUAUCAACCUAAUACAUACCCAAUAUAAUUGUAAAAGAAUCAAGUUACUAUAGGGAUAACAGCGUAAUAAAAUUUAAAAGUUCUUAUUUAAAAUUUUGAUUACGACCUCGAUGUUGAAUUACCUUAUCUCCCCAAUGAAGCUAAUGGAAUAGAAAGUCUGUUCGACAUUUAAAAAGGUACA